GUAGAGCAUUAGUCCACAAUACACUGGCUGAAGCAGACUGCUGAAGGGUUCAAAACCCUACAAAGGUACUAUGAUGUGAAGGAGAAAAAGGAAACACUAGAAAUGCCAUUUUGGUUCUGGAAUAGACAUAAAAGAGCCAGAAGGGAGGCCGAGCGUAAACUAAGAAAAGCAGAAGAAGCAAGAAUGCAAGCUGAAGAAAAACUAAAAGCUGCUGAAGCACAACAGCAUGCGAUACAAGCACAGCAACUUGUGAUGCAAGCUCAAAUGGCUAGAUUAAGAGAACAACAACGGCUAGUGGAGGAAAAACAAAGAAUUGAAAGAAUGAGGCAAGAAGAAAAGAAGAAAAUGGACAUGGAGAACAGAGCCAAAGAAGAAGAAGAAAAGAAAAGAAUUCACCAACACCUUAAGAAAUGAUAUAUCACUAUAAAUCAUUGCAAUGUGCUCUUGUUAUUUUAUCUAAUCAAAAUAAGUACACCAGUUUCAACUUCAUUUUUAAGUUACAUAAGAUCUGAAUUGAUUUUUCAACUGACUUCAGUUAAAUGCAUUUAACUCAAUAACAACUGAUUCAAAUGAACAAUACUUUUUGUUACAAGAAAACAACAACUACUGAUUCCCAUUUCUUUAAUAUUCGAAUUUCUCUCUUGAAUUACAAUCUAUAUUAAAGUUUAAACAUUGUUAUUUCAAAUGUAUAGAAAAUGUAUAUGUCAACAUAAGAAAAAAGCAAUUGAUGCCACUAAAUAAAAAAACAAUUGUUUUCUAUCUUUUAAUACCUACAAAUUACCUAGACUAAAUUAAACAAUCUGAUCUGGAACAACUUAUGAUAUUGUACAUGAAUUACUAUAACGCAUGGACACAGAAAAAUAAUGUAUAGAAAAAAUACAAUAAUAUACCUCAUGCUAAUCUACUCUGGAAAGUCACCUUGACACAUGAAAACAAUUACCUAUUGUUUUCAUUAUAUUGUAUUAAUAAAGCAUUGUUGUUUUAUAAUGCACUCUGCUUUUAUACACCGUCAAUGAUUCACUGACAAUAAAACCGGUUUUAUUUUAA
Long non-coding RNA from Danio aesculapii, 1047 nucleotides. RefSeq lists it as uncharacterized. The record is from RefSeq and is a predicted model, not a curated record. The transcript is spliced from 2 exons. NCBI's taxonomy places the organism in Eukaryota, Metazoa, Chordata, Actinopteri, Cypriniformes, Danionidae.